UUUUUCAAAGAAAGGGUGGCUUUUUCGUCGAUCUCUUUGUGAGAGUAUCAAAUCAGGCGGCGGUAAAUACGUAGAAGCAACUAGGCGUACUACGGCGUGUACCGGACAGCGUUGGCGUGCCGCUCUGCUAGCAGCGGAGAGCCAGAUGAGGAUGCCCGUGAUAUGAGAAAAGCUCUGUCCAGAGAUAUGGAGACGAAAUCAGUUGUACCUCACCCUGUGACACCGGAAGACAUUGAGUAACUCGUCCUGCAGCUGGCUCCUCGGUUUUGGCGGCAGCCUGCACAUAGCAGCCCAGCUCUCCAGCAGCCUGACGGACCGACCGUGUGUCUGUUCCACGCCGGACUGGCGAGCGUGGCUCUGGGUAGGACAGCCGAGGUGCCCCAGGGCCGGGCCCCGAGCCCCGGUGCGGAG
Grus americana (Whooping crane) is the source of this 411-nucleotide long non-coding RNA. RefSeq lists it as uncharacterized. NCBI's taxonomy places the organism in Eukaryota, Metazoa, Chordata, Aves, Gruiformes, Gruidae. The record is from RefSeq and is a predicted model, not a curated record. The transcript has 3 exons.